AGUGAACGCUGGCGUUAGGCCUAACACAUGCAAGUCGAACGGCAGCACAGUAAGAGCUUGCUCUUACGGGUGGCGAGUGGCGGACGGGUGAGGAAUACAUCGGAAUCUACUUUUUCGUGGGGGAUAACGUAGGGAAACUUACGCUAAUACCGCAUACGACCUACGGGUGGAAGCAGGGGAUCUUCGGACCUUGCGCGAUUGAAUGAGCCGAUGUCGGAUUAGCUAGUUGGCGGGGUAAAGGCCCACCAAGGCGACGAUCCGUAGCUGGUCUGAGAGGAUGAUCAGCCACACUGGAACUGAGACACGGUCCAGACUCCUACGGGAGGCAGCAGUGGGGAAUAUUGGACAAUGGGCGCAAGCCUGAUCCAGCCAUACCGCGUGGGUGAAGAAGGCCUUCGGGUUGUAAAGCCCUUUUGUUGGGAAAGAAAAGCAGCAGGUUAAUACCCCGCUGUUCUGACGGUACCCAAAGAAUAAGCACCGGCUAACUUCGUG
RNAcentral lists this ribosomal RNA (492 nucleotides) under uncultured bacterium. RNAcentral describes it as "partial 16S ribosomal RNA". It matches the Rfam family "Bacterial small subunit ribosomal RNA", at positions 29 to 507 of the family's 1533-position model. The record is from RNAcentral.